RNAcentral lists this ribosomal RNA (1154 nucleotides) under uncultured fungus. RNAcentral describes it as "eukaryotic LSU rRNA". The stretch from base 529 to 1154 matches the Rfam family "Eukaryotic large subunit ribosomal RNA", at positions 1 to 620 of the family's 3401-position model. The record is from RNAcentral. Lineage: Eukaryota; Fungi.
GAGGGAUCAUUACAGAGCUCGCUAAAACACUCCCAAACCCAUGGUGAACAUUACCGUUUGUUGCCUCGGCAGGACCUACCCGGUAGCUACCCUGUAGUUACCCUGUAGCCUGCCGGUGGACCUCUAAACUCUUGUUAUUUUAUGGAAAUCUGAGCGUCUUAUUUAAUAAGUCAAAACUUUCAACAACGGAUCUCUUGGUUCUGGCAUCGAUGAAGAACGCAGCGAAAUGCGAUAAGUAAUGUGAAUUGCAGAAUUCAGUGAAUCAUCGGAUCUUUGAACGCAUCUUGCGCUCUUUGGUAUUCCAAGGAGCAUGCCUGUUUGAGUGUCAUUAAGUUCUCAACCAUAUUAAAUUCUUUUAAUGUGGCUUGGUUGUUGGAAGCUUGCAGGUCAUUUUAUAUAGAUCUGCUCUUCUAAAAUGGAUUAGUGGUAUCUGAGCAGACACUACUACAGAUGUGAUAAUUAUUAUUUACAUCUUAGUCAUGCUGCAAUAGUAGAUUAUACUGCUUCUAACACACAUUAUGAUAUAUUUGACCUCAAAUCAGGUAGGACUACCCGCUGAACUUAAGCAUAUCAAUAAGCGGAGGAAAAGAAACUAACAAGGAUUCCCUUAGUAACUGCGAGUGAAGUGGGAAAAGCUCAAAUUUGAAAUCUGGCAGCUUUUAACUGUCCGAGUUGUAAUCUAGAGAAGUGUUACCUGUCCUGGACCAUGUACAAGUCUUCUGGAAUGGAGUAUCAUAGAGGGUGAGAAUCCCGUCUUUGACAUGGACUACCAGUGCAUUAUGGUGUGCUCUCAAAGAGUCGAGUUGUUUGGGAAUGCAGCUCAAAAUGGGUGGUAAAUGCCAUCUAAAGCUAAAUAUUGGCAAGAGACCGAUAGUGAACAAGUACCGUGAGGGAAAGAUGAAAAGAACUUUGGAAAGAGAGUUAAACAGUACGUGAAAUUGCUGAAAGGGAAACGCUUGAAGUCAGUCACAUUGGCUAGAAAUCAGCCUUGCUUUUGCUGGGUGUAUUUUCUUGUCGAUGGGUCAGCAUCAAUUUUGACUGCUGGAUAAAUUCUUUGGGAAUGUGGCAUCUUUGGAUGUGUUAUAGCCCAUAGUUGUAUACAGUGGUUGGGAUUGAGGAAUCUCAGCAUGCCGCCAAGGUUGGGUAUUAAACCC